ACAUACCAAAGACUCACUGCAGGUGUGGCUUCUGUGUCGCAUGUGCAUCAGUAGGUGACAGAGAGGAGUGAACCUAUGUUUACACUCAGUGUUCUGACCUGUGAACAUCAGAAUGGUUAGUGGCUUUGAAAA
Molecule: small nucleolar RNA, 132 nt
Organism: Rattus rattus (black rat)
Lineage: Eukaryota; Metazoa; Chordata; Mammalia; Rodentia; Muridae
Product: small nucleolar RNA SNORA17
Exons: 1
Source: RefSeq, a predicted model, not a curated record